RNAcentral lists this ribosomal RNA (641 nucleotides) under Bacillus pumilus. RNAcentral's name for it is "bacterial SSU rRNA". It matches the Rfam family "Bacterial small subunit ribosomal RNA", at positions 81 to 708 of the family's 1533-position model. The record is from RNAcentral. Lineage: Bacteria; Bacillati; Bacillota; Bacilli; Caryophanales; Bacillaceae.
GCUCCCGGAUGUUAGCGGCGGACGGGUGAGUAACACGUGGGUAACCUGCCUGUAAGACUGGGAUAACUCCGGGAAACCGGAGCUAAUACCGGAUAGUUCCUUGAACCGCAUGGUUCAAGGAUGAAAGACGGUUUCGGCUGUCACUUACAGAUGGACCCGCGGCGCAUUAGCUAGUUGGUGGGGUAAUGGCUCACCAAGGCGACGAUGCGUAGCCGACCUGAGAGGGUGAUCGGCCACACUGGGACUGAGACACGGCCCAGACUCCUACGGGAGGCAGCAGUAGGGAAUCUUCCGCAAUGGACGAAAGUCUGACGGAGCAACGCCGCGUGAGUGAUGAAGGUUUUCGGAUCGUAAAGCUCUGUUGUUAGGGAAGAACAAGUGCGAGAGUAACUGCUCGCACCUUGACGGUACCUAACCAGAAAGCCACGGCUAACUACGUGCCAGCAGCCGCGGUAAUACGUAGGUGGCAAGCGUUGUCCGGAAUUAUUGGGCGUAAAGGGCUCGCAGGCGGUUUCUUAAGUCUGAUGUGAAAGCCCCCGGCUCAACCGGGGAGGGUCAUUGGAAACUGGGAAACUUGAGUGCACAAGAAGAGAGUGUAAUUCCACGUGUAGCGGUGAAAUGCGUAGAGAUGUGGAGGAACA